Long non-coding RNA from Herpailurus yagouaroundi (jaguarundi), 1898 nucleotides. RefSeq lists it as uncharacterized. NCBI's taxonomy places the organism in Eukaryota, Metazoa, Chordata, Mammalia, Carnivora, Felidae. The transcript is spliced from 5 exons. The record is from RefSeq and is a predicted model, not a curated record.
GUCCAUUCUACCUGCCAGGCACUGUACUCAGUCCUGGAGUUAAAGGGGUCGAGAAGACAGGCAGAUAUGUCUCCACCUUCAUGGAAUUUAGGCACCCAGUGGAAGAUAAUACUUACAUGGAGACAACAACCUGCCCAGUUGUGGGACUUUUCUGUAGUAGAAGAGCAGCCUGGUUUAAGCACUGAGAAAGCCUUCAUUUCAGGAAAAAAAUAUUUAGGAAGGACAGUAUCAGAAACCCAAGGAGAGAACCAAACUACAAAACACUGAGAAGUUAAAACACGAAGGGAUUUUGCACAACAGAAGACUUGAUGUCAGUGGCCUUUCCUGUCUUUUGUGAAAGCUUAAACCCUCUGAAGAAAUUAUGCCAGGUGUUCCAGAGAGGGAAGAGAGAGAAGUGACUUUCAAGGCGAUUCCCUUUUCUUAGGAAUGAGAUGACGUUGGAGGCCUCAGUGCUGGCUGAAGGAGAACAAGAUGUCUGCCUUCUCCCUGUGUUCUCACAUGGCCUUUUUUCUGCACACCAACGUAUGUGGUGUCUCCUGCUUUUCUUGUAAAUACGUCAGUCCUUUGAAUUAGGGCCCAGCCUAAUGGCCUCAUAAUCACUCUCUAAGACCUUGUCUCCAAACGCAGUCCUAUUCUGCUGGUGUGCUGGGAGCUAAGGCCUCAAUAUAGGAAUUUGGGAGGGACACAAUUCAGGGGUUAAUACGUAUCUCAAAAUGCAAUAACAUCUAGGUCCUACAGUCUAGAAAAAUAAAACAAGGAGAUGCAGUUGACAUCAGUGUCAGGGUAAUAGCCUUCCUCCUCUUUACUCUGAUCCCCUCUCUUGUCUGCAAAGCAUGGCAUCAUUUUUAACUGGUGGUUUUUCUGAGAACCCUAGGCUGUGUCCUAAAUGCUAAUUUUCUAGAAGGUUUUAACAGACAGCUCUCCAUCAGGGAUCAGUGAAAUGGUGUGGUGGAAAGGACCACAGGGCUAAACUCAUGAAAUGAACAAAGCCUCCGGUCUCCAGGCCCAGCAGUAAGACCUUGGCUAACAGACAAGCUGUGGUGUGCAAAUCUGCUUUCUGCAUUUGACUUCCCAGCCACCUCUGGGGUGUCCAGUACUUGAUUCAAACACACUCAAGACGAAGCACUCAAAUGCUUGCUGAACAUUUCUUUGGUAGGUUUCCAGAGCUUCAUUCUUCUUGUUAAUGGUGACAGAGAAAAUUACACAAGGUGUCCAUGAUGUUUGAUUUGCUACUUGCCUCACAGUUUACUUCAAAGUUCCCUCAGAGUUUUCUGAAUUUUACUUUCUAGAGCAAAUAUUACUGGCAUAGACAUCAAGCAUGCCCAUGCAAUUAUUCUUAAUGGUUGUGGUAAGCAAGUUCUGGAUUUUCAGGUCAGGAGCAAUCUGUGUUUUAGCAAUUAGCAACUAAUGGCCAUGUAGUAAUAAGUUUAGUUGGCACAGGCUUAUUUCUCCAAUUCCCUGAGUCAACAAUGACAAUAGCACCAAUGAAGUGCAAAUAUGAGCAUGUUCCUGUUGAGUUUCCUCCCUUAGCUCUCAUCCUUACCUGGUAAUAAAACGUGGCAUCGCCCCAGGUUCUCCUUUGGUUUCCAUGACUGAAGAUGACAUCUAAGGAGACUUAUCUGAUUAAUCAAAUCAUAAAGUUAGACAGGAGCCCAAGAAACUGUUCAGUUAAAUCUUCCAGGAAAGCUUCAAUGCAACCAAACCAUCAGAGUUUUCCAGGGCAGAAAGGGAGUGUUUCCUGUAUAUUUCGCUGUCAGAAAGGUUUCCUGUGUCAGUCACUCCCUUGCCAGUGUCUGAACUUGAAUUAACUCUAACUCCCACCAUGUCUCCUGACUGAUAUCCAGUCUCAGGAAAAGGCCUGGUGUUCCAACAUUUUGCCAGAAAAUACACAAACUGAA